Molecule: transfer RNA, 68 nt
Filed under: Eremiaphila sp.
Lineage: Eukaryota; Metazoa; Arthropoda; Insecta; Mantodea; Eremiaphilidae
Description: tRNA-Ala
Rfam family: tRNA
About the family: Transfer RNA (tRNA) molecules are approximately 80 nucleotides in length. Their secondary structure includes four short double-helical elements and three loops (D, anti-codon, and T loops).
Source: RNAcentral
AGGGAUGUAGUUAAAUAUAACAUUUGAAUUGCAAUCAAAAAGUAUUGAACUAAUUUCAAUCUUCCUUA